Molecule: ribosomal RNA, 641 nt
Filed under: Frondihabitans sp. I14A-00867
Lineage: Bacteria; Bacillati; Actinomycetota; Actinomycetes; Micrococcales; Microbacteriaceae
Description: bacterial SSU rRNA
Rfam family: Bacterial small subunit ribosomal RNA
Source: RNAcentral
AGUGGCGAACGGGUGAGUAACACGUGAGUAACCUGCCCUUGACUCUGGGAUAAGCGUUGGAAACGACGUCUAAUACCGGAUAUGACCCCUACCGGCAUCGGUUGGGGGUGGAAAGAUUUUUUGGUCAAGGAUGGACUCGCGGCCUAUCAGGUAGUUGGUGAGGUAAUGGCUCACCAAGCCGACGACGGGUAGCCGGCCUGAGAGGGUGACCGGCCACACUGGGACUGAGACACGGCCCAGACUCCUACGGGAGGCAGCAGUGGGGAAUAUUGCACAAUGGGCGAAAGCCUGAUGCAGCAACGCCGCGUGAGGGACGACGGCCUUCGGGUUGUAAACCUCUUUUAGUAGGGAAGAAGGGAGCUUGCUCUUGACGGUACCUGCAGAAAAAGCACCGGCUAACUACGUGCCAGCAGCCGCGGUAAUACGUAGGGUGCAAGCGUUGUCCGGAAUUAUUGGGCGUAAAGAGCUCGUAGGCGGUUUGUCGCGUCUGCUGUGAAAUCUGGGGGCUCAACCCCCAGCCUGCAGUGGGUACGGGCAGACUAGAGUGCGGUAGGGGAGAUUGGAAUUCCUGGUGUAGCGGUGGAAUGCGCAGAUAUCAGGAGGAACACCGAUGGCGAAGGCAGAUCUCUGGGCCGUAACUG